UGGAAUCAUGUUUAGCUAAGGGCAGGAAUGGGAACAGGGACACAGGCCUUGGCAGAGAUGCACUGGGCUUGUGGGAGGAUGGAAGGUAAGAAAAUAUGAACAUCUGAAAGAAAAACCAGAAGUCUAAUUGCAUAGGCUCGGAUGAUUAUGCUCCCACCAUUUCUGAAAUGGGAAAGACAAAACAAGGAGACAGACAAGAUACUGUAAUGGGUGAAUGACCAGGGUGCAGUAGGCUUCACUAAAGCCACCACAGUAUACAUUCUGAAGAUAAUCAGUGCACCAUUUUCAGACCAGGCCAAAUCUUGUGGUCCUUCCUCCAUUUUAACUCUGGACACUCCUAUUGAAGACACCGGAGAUUUGUCUGAGUACAGACCUCCAGGAUUUUUUUUUUUUUUUUUUUUGUAAAAUGGUCCACAAUGGUGUCUUUACACCAUCCUCUAAAGAAUUCUGUGUUGGCCAGCAUCAGUGACAGAAUGCAUCGCUAGAUGGACUUGUGGCCUAAUGCAAGGCCUUCGUUCCUGGUAUUUGACCUGCUGUACCUCAUUAUUUUGAUUUUUUUUUUAGGUGAAUGAGCCAUCUUCCUGGCCCUUGUAUCUGAACUUGUUUGCCUGCGUAGGCUUCAUUAUGUCGCUGAAAGGGCUGAGGUAUUUGCCAUUUGGCAUUUGCUUGGCAGUACUGUUUCAGUUGGGAGGAUUGACAUCCUGCAGAAUCUGGUUCAGUAAAUAAAAUGUAAGCUGGUUUAGCAAGUAGGGGUAAAAUGUGGGGAUGUAAUAAACUGGUCCCACAUAACAAACAUAGGGCUAAAUCCUGAAAUUCUUAUGCAAACAUGAAUUAGUAAUAACCAUAGUACUUGGCAUUUCUGUAUGUUCAAAGCACAGUAAAUGCAUGAACCAACUAAUCUUUUCGAGGCCCCAGUGAACAAGGUGGGCAAAUCAUUCCCAUUUUAUAGUUGGGAAAAGUAAGACAGAAGGUGAAGUGGCUUCUUCAAUGGCACAGUAAUUCAAUAUCUGAACCAGACUAAAGAACAAAUGAGCAGCUGGCUACCAACCCUGUGCUUAUUCCCUAGGGGAAUAUUUUACUUUUCAAAAAGCCGCCUCAUUUGUUGGCACUCAGGAGCUGUGUCUCCAAAGAGAAGGACUCACUCUAACAGUGAGUCAAAACACCUGCUAGAAAGCAAAACUUCAAAAGAACCAUUCAGACAUGAAGCCAUAAUCUGCAUACGUUUUCCCUGAUGGUCUUUCACUACUGCAAGCCACUGGCUAA
Chelonia mydas (Green sea turtle) is the source of this 1263-nucleotide long non-coding RNA. RefSeq lists it as uncharacterized. The transcript is spliced from 3 exons. The record is from RefSeq and is a predicted model, not a curated record. Lineage: Eukaryota; Metazoa; Chordata; Testudines; Cheloniidae.